UCAAGAUUUUAACAUCUCAUU
This 21-nucleotide non-coding RNA is filed under the name Caenorhabditis elegans. Lineage: Eukaryota; Metazoa; Nematoda; Chromadorea; Rhabditida; Rhabditidae. The record is from RNAcentral.